UACAGAGGUGGCGAGCGUUGUUCGGAUUUACUGGGCGUAAAGGGUGCGUAGGUGGUUGCCUAUGUCGGGUGUGAAAGCCCACGGCUUAACCGUGGAACGGCAUUCGAAACUGGGUGACUUGAGUGCAGGAAGGGAGAGCGGAAUUCUUGGUGUAGCGGUGAAAUGCGUUGAUAUCAAGAAGAACACCGGUGGCGAAGGCGGCUCUCUGGAAUGUUACUGACACUGAGGCACGAAAGCUGGGGGAGCAAACAGG
Molecule: ribosomal RNA, 253 nt
Filed under: uncultured bacterium
Lineage: Bacteria
Description: partial 16S ribosomal RNA
Rfam family: Bacterial small subunit ribosomal RNA
Source: RNAcentral